Molecule: unclassified non-coding RNA, 6221 nt
Filed under: Ixodes scapularis (black-legged tick)
Lineage: Eukaryota; Metazoa; Arthropoda; Arachnida; Ixodida; Ixodidae
Description: nucleolar protein 10, transcript variant X2
Source: RNAcentral
UGUCAGACUUUGUAUUCUUUUUCCUUCUAUACUUUAACAUUAUAUAAUGAACAAUAGGUUACUAUGAAGACUGAAGGACAUUUACCAGCACUAUCUGACCCAAGAUGUUACCGGACUCUUCGGUCGUUGCUAAAAUGUCGCACGUUGCCACAGAUCCUUAACCUUCUUAACCCUAACCACGUACCGCCGUCCUCCAUUUUUCCCCUAUUUUGUUUUGUCUUUGCGCCUAGAUGGAUCGUCAGUGACCCAUUGUCAUCGGUAUAAGCGAGCCAAUCCAAAGCCGAAAUCCGAAUUGAAAUCCAUCCAGUGUAGCCCGCCAUCUUGGACGGCUUUCUGAGUAUUUCGUGAUUUCGCCAUGUGGUUUGGCUUAUCAAAAUUUUCAAAGUUUAAGCGAAAAGGUUAGCAAGAAGCAGCAAAAAUGCAAGUCUCAAGCACAAACGACGUCAAAAUCUACAACCUCAGUGCCGGCAGGUCGCUGCCGGAAUGGCUCUCGGAUCGGAAGAAGCGCCUGCUCGCCAAGAAGCAUUCGGAGAUCCGGCAUCGCAUCGAACUCAUCCAAGACUUCGAGAUGCCCACGGUCAGCACGAACGUCCGAAUGUCCAAAGACGGACAGUACGUGCUCGCCACGGGUAUCUACAAACCCCGUGUCCGCUGCUUCGAGGUGUCCCAGCUCUCGAUGAAGUUCGAGCGGUGCUUCGACUCUGAAGUCGUGUGCUUCGAGUGCCUGAGCGACGACUACGCCAAGAUGGUGUUCCUCCAGUGCGACCGGUACGUCGAGUUUCACGCGGCCUACGGUCGCUACCACCGCAUCCGAAUCCCCAGGUUCGGUCGGGACAUGGCUUACCUGUCGGCGGCCUGCGAACUGUUCUUCGCGUGCGACGGUCCCCAGGUCUACCGGCUCAACCUCGAUCAGGGCCGCUUCCUGAACCCCGUCGUUACAGAAGCCACGGCCGUUAACGCUUGUAGGGUUAACGCGUACCACAACCUCGUCGUUUUGGGCACCGAAGAAGGCAAGGUCGAGGCGUACGAUCCGCGUUCCCGCAACCGCGUCGGGGUCCUAGAGUGCGCCCUCAACAGUGUCACCGAGAACUCCGAGAUCCACGGCAUGCCGUCAGUGACCUCCUUGUGCUUCAGAGACGCGCUUAUGUUAGGCGUCGGCACGGCCACGGGUCAGGUCUUGCUGUUCGACAUCCGCUCGGACAAACCAGUCCUGGUCAAAGAUCACUUCUACGGUCUGCCGGUGAAAAAGGUCGCGUUCCACGGUGGCGACGCGGACGUGGUCCUCAGCAUGGAUUGUAAGGUCGUCAAGAUCUGGGAACGAUUGUCCGGAAAGGCAUUCACUUCGGUCACACCCGCCGUGGACCUCAACGACCUGUGCGUCGUCGGCAAUUCUGGCCUCUUCUUUGUGGCAAACGAGGACAAGAAGAUUCUCGCGUACUAUGUUCCGAGCCUCGGCCCGGCUCCCAAGUGGUGCUCGUUCCUGGACAACCUGACAGAAGAACUGGAGGAGACGCAGCAGGACGCAGUGUAUGACGAUUACAAGUUUGUUACGAGGCGCGAGCUGGAGGAACUUGGACUGGGACACCUGAUCGGCACGAACCUGCUGCGCGCAUACAUGCACGGCUACUUCCUGGACAUCCGGCUGUUCCAUAAAGCGAAGUCGCUGGUUCAGCCAUUUGCGUACGAGGACUACAGACGCCGGAAGAUCCGCGAGACCAUCGAUGCGACGAGGGUCAAUCGCGUCACAAGCGGCAUCAAGCUACCCGCUGUCAACCGGGAGCUUGCUCGUAAGUUGCAGGAGGCGGCCGAAGACGGCGAGCCGGACGGCAAGGCGAAGUCUAAGCCGGUGUCUGGGUCGGGUCUUCUUGAAGACACCCGGUUCAAGGCCAUCUUCGAGAACCCCGACUUUGAAGUGGAUCCGGCGAGUGAUGAGUACCGUCUGCUCCAGCCGGUCGUGACAAGCCUGGAGAAGCGGACAAAGAAGAAGGCAGACAAGAUGGCGGCCUCCGCGGCAGCCAUUGACAUGGACCUGUUUACGCCGGUGGACGACGGAGUGGCACGUGGUGCGUCCAGCGACGAGGACAGUUCGGAUGAUGACCGGACAUGGACAAAGGAGGUUAAGAAGCAGCACAAGAUCAUCCGGCAGAAAGAGAGGACAGAAAUUGUGGCUCCCAGCGCUGGUCCGAAGAUGUACGAGUUGAAGAGUGGCGUGGAGUUGACGGGUCCGCGGAGCGAGUCUAUUAAGAGGGAGAAAAUGUCGCGGAAGUUAACCUUGGGUCAAAGGCUCGAGAGGGAACGGACUGGGGUUGGGUCGGCAGGGGCAGGAGGCAACAGGUCGAUGACGUUCGAGUUGAAGAAGACGCCAAUGGAAAGGAAGCGUGAGGAGGCAGAGAAGAGACACAUGCAGGAGAGGAGGAAAGGUCGGAGGUCGGCCAAAGGGCUCAAAAUGGCGGCUGUUGCGAAGCCGGCGCCAUUUUGAGAGGCAGUGGCAGCGAUGCUGGGUCACCGAGUACGACGGCCAAGCGGUAUGGUGACGACUACACCCUGAAUGGCACCAAGGCUUUUAUCAGCGGAUUAAGGCCCCUUACGACAGAUGGGGGAGCAGCGACCUCUACGUCACGAUGGUCCGGACGGGCGGUCAGGGACCCAAGGGAAUCUCGACGGUGGUCGUGGAGAAAGGGACACCGGGACCCAGCUUCGGCAAAAAGGAGAAGAUGCAGAGAGAAACAAAGAACCACCUCGUCGUUGGAAACUGCAGUUUCAGAAUGCACAAUCCUUGCAUACUCCGUGCUCUCUGGACACCUCAUGCUCAUAAGUUUGGAGAACUUCCCUUCUCUCUACUGGAUGGUUCCCUGAGAGAGCCGUGCCAUGUGCAGGUAGUGUCACGUAUGAAAUGGACCUUUCUGGAAAGUAGCGCGCGCCCCCUAGCGGCGCGCGAGGCAUUACGGGAAGAGCGAGGGUUGCUGCUUCGUCGUCUGCCGCUACCGCCGUACCGCCCGCAAAAAUUAUGUUGGUAUAUGUUCGCGUGGGUUCCCCGUGUACGGCAAACGGCAAUUUUUGCAGUGCCCUGUGCCGCCCUGCGCUCGAUGACGUUCUAGUCAAACAUAUUCUCGUAGCUGCGAGUGUUUUUUAUUCCAAACAAUGGCAGGGCUUGUGUUUUUUUGUUGGUUUUUUUUUGCUACGGGAAUCAGUUAAGCUAGUCGGUGCAUUUUAUUUUCCUUUGCUAAAAAAAACAAACAAACAAACUAUGCAGCUCAUUUGAACAAUGUUGAAGACAGUUAGCUCGCCUAGGUGCAUGAAUAGAUUAAGAAUGGUGCCGCAGUUCGGACGGUAGCAUGUGCCACCUAGCAUGCAAAAACUAGACUAGGCUAGACUUGGCCUGGCUAAAAGGCACGACACCCUCGCAGUUCCCAUGAUGCCCUGGAGCUCUCGGUGGUGGAGCUGGCGUUUCCAGAAAGGUCCAUUUUCUGCCUUCCAGAAAAUGGUUACGAAAGUCGGCAUUAUUGCAGAUCUCGAGAAUAGGGUGCACCACCUUCCUGCUAGUGAAAUGCGGGACAUACAGGAGGGGGAAGGGGGGGGGGGGGGGGGGGGGAGAGAGGACAUUUAUGAACACAAACACAAAGAGCCGAGGCUCUGUUUACAUCUUUAAUAUCAUGUGCUGUUUAUAUACCUGCAGAUCGUAUUGCAGCAAUUAGGCUAAAUUAAUUUGCGCUAUCGGUGAUAUAUUUAUGUCAAUAAUGUUAUUAAAUGUGUCGAAGUUGAAAGCAAAAAAAAAUAUAUCAACUGCAGCAGAACUCAAUGCAUAUAAUGAAAUUAAGAAACAGUAAAUCUUAUCACGUUAUUGUUUCCUGUCAACGCUUACUUUUAUCAACAUGGUCCUAGACAAAUUUUUAACAUUGUCUUUUUUCGACCGUUGUAAGUUGCAUGCUUUUUGCCUUGUGUGACUGUCUUCCCUAAAGAAAUAUCGACGCCAACCCUUCUGCAAUGACACAACGAUUUGUAAAUAAUUACAAUAUUUUAUAUUUAAACGUUUAACGAGCAAUCUUUCUUACAGUAUGUUGCCACCAAGGGGAGAGGUACAAAGGAGCAUGCGCGUCAGUUCUCCUGCAAGAACGACGGUCGCUUCCCGCAAUAUGAUUGGAUAGAAAAUGGCGUACCACUUGGAUUCACACGAUUACCAGCGACCUCCGCGCGUCCUCUUGACCCGCUAUAUGGCAGCACCGUGAUUUGCAAAGUGAGUUUUACGACAGUAUAAAAUGCGGGCCAUUUUGAAGAUUUUGGAAUUUCUUGCGGGAUGCGAAACACGAGCCCUCAAUGCGGGACAGUCCCGAGAGACGCGGGACGGGUGGUCACCCUACUCGAGAAGCAUCAUUACUUGUCUUUAUUUAAACUUUUGUACCCGAUUAAAAUUUUUCUGGAGCCACAUACUAUUUUUACUUUGCAUUGUGUGCUGUACAGGGGGUUUCAUGUUUAUCGGUUUAAACCGAUAAACCUAUAUGCCAAAUUUAUUGUUCAGAAUUCAACAAGGUCGGUGUUUUAGUCGUAUGGCACAGAAAAUGGACAUUCGGGGAGAGGUGUUACAUAUUCAACAAUAAACAGAUUUUGGGGGGUUAAAUUUUCUGCUUUGUGAUCAGAUUUUGCAUACUUAGUUUGCUAUUUUUUGAAGGUGGAGUUUGGAUUGUUUUUAUUUGCGGAAACGUCCCAGUACUUCACAACAUACGAAGGUAUUCACAAAGUAACGCUGCAACCAGUUUUAAUAUCGGAGAUGGAUGCGAUGUUGCGGACAAAGAUAAAUGCCAUUUCAUCAAAAUUGACUUUUUCCUAAAUAAAAAAAAAAAAAAAACUGGCGACGCUUUUUUGUUUAUUAAAAAAAUGCUGCCGUUUAGGGCUGUGGGGAUGUCACCCCUUCUCUUAAAAUCCAUCCCCAACCCUAAGGCUGGGAGAGGAUUAUAAAUGCUCGCACAUCAGCAGAUUAAUGGCACCACAUAGAAGCGUUGAAUUGUAAAUGGUUUGCGAUUUGUUGUAGCGUCCGUUGUAGUAGUAUCCCAUGACGUUUUCAACUGCAGUCUAGUUGUAUUUACCAUGUUUUCUGUGCCGUAGUCAGCAGACUAUACGCAUUUAAAAGUCCAAACUCUAUGCAAUGCCAACUAUACAAGGAUUUAUUUUUUUCUACAAUGUUCGUUAUGACGAGACUGGCCAAAGUUUGUGAAUGACAAAGUAUAUGUUAGUGAUGAUUUACAUACUAUACAAGCUUUGUGAUCGAAUAAAGCAGGCAUUUGUCAAGGUGUACUGUGUAUAAACAUUUCUUACAGGUGGACUUUGAGGUAUACUGUCGGCCACCUUUUGGGGCCCAAGGCAUAGAGUGGGAAACAUGUCAACAAAAACGAAAUUUUCCAUAGAAACGACAUGUGCACAUACAUAAAAGCAAAGAUAACUUGUAUAUUUAUAUGUUCCCACAAAUAUUCAAGGUACACUUGUGAGAAAAUCGUGCAGAACCGUAGGGAAAAAGUAAAUAUAACAAAAGAAAUCGCACAAUUUAAAAGUUAUCAAGUGAACAGAGGGACCAAAAGACACCCCUUACCUCUAUACCCAGUAGCUUGACCUGUGAGAAGCCCACAAUGUUUCUCUUGCUUGGACUCUCAAGGCAAACUGUUUUUAUGCCAGAAAUUUUAUCAAGACUUAAAUUUUUUAAAAAAGCAAACCUCUGAGAGUGAUUUUCUGCCGUGUUUAAAGGUACGCCAGACAUAUCCGGAAAACUUCCUAAAGGUGCUACUAUGAACAGUGCGAGCGGGAAUCAGAAGCACGUUGCCUUCGAUAUGCUACGCAGCGCUACCUUGAGGCUGAUAAAACUGCGGGGUGGAGAUAGGGGCUGCGAGAAAGUGCGCAUAUUCUGAUGUGCACACUGUCGCAGUCCCCUUCUCCGCUCCGCAAUUUCAUCAGCCUCAGGGUGGUGCAGCAUAGCAUAUUGAAGGCAACGUGCUCCUACAUUCCCUCAAAUACUGUUCAUAUUAGUCUGUCAGACACAUGCAGCAUAGUUUAUAUAAUGAAUCCAAAGAGAAAAGCGUGACAUAUUCACAAGCGUUUCGGAUGCCUCGAAACGAUGGGGCAGAGGCAGGUAUAGGGGCUUUAAUAUCGGUAGCUGCUCAAUUGAGCGGUCUUUUUGCGAGGAAACACAGUCUGGCGUUGUAUAAAGGAAAAGUAAGGUCGACAAGUGAUUGCAG